UACUAAUGUGCAGCUACGGUGUUAUGUAGG
RNAcentral lists this non-coding RNA (30 nucleotides) under Rattus norvegicus (Norway rat). The record is from RNAcentral. Lineage: Eukaryota; Metazoa; Chordata; Mammalia; Rodentia; Muridae.